RNAcentral lists this ribosomal RNA (253 nucleotides) under uncultured bacterium. Its description in RNAcentral is "partial 16S ribosomal RNA". It matches the Rfam family "Bacterial small subunit ribosomal RNA", at positions 524 to 776 of the family's 1533-position model. The record is from RNAcentral.
UACGGGGGGGGCAAGCGUUGUCCGGAAUUAUUGGGCGUAAAGAGCUCGUAGGCGGUUUGUCACGUCUGCUGUGAAAUCCCGAGGCUCAACCUCGGGCCUGCAGUGGGUACGGGCAGACUGGAGUGCGGUAGGGGAGAAUGGAAUUCCUGGUGUAGCGGUGGAAUGCGCAGAUAUCAGGAGGAACACCGAUGGCGAAGGCAGUUCUCUGGGCCGUAACUGACGCUGAGGAGCGAAAGCGUGGGGAGCGAACAGG